GGUGUAGGCGGCUUGGUAAGUGUUCUGUGAAAUCCCACGGCUCAACCGUGGAACUGCAGGGCAAACUACCCGGCUUGAGGUUGGUAGAGGUGCCUGGAACUCUAGGUGGAGCGGUGAAAUGCGUAGAUAUCUAGAGGAAUGCCAGUGGCGAAAGCGGGGCACUGGGCCGAUUCUGACGCUGAGACCCGAAAGCGUGGGGAGCAAACAGGAUUAGAUACCCUGGUAGUCC
RNAcentral lists this ribosomal RNA (229 nucleotides) under uncultured bacterium. RNAcentral's name for it is "partial 16S ribosomal RNA". It matches the Rfam family "Bacterial small subunit ribosomal RNA", at positions 568 to 796 of the family's 1533-position model. The record is from RNAcentral.